CCCAGAUAGUCCUCUAUAUGAGAUAUUAUAGGGAUAAACUCUUAACCCGACUUAAACAUUUUGGGUGGUGGCUAGACCCAAGAGGUUAAGAGAGUUAAGCGUGCUAGGACGGGAGUAGUCCUAGGAUGGGUGACCCCUGGGAAGUCGGGGCAUCACAGAUGGUAUCAGAGCCAAUUACCAGCCGGAAGUGUGAGAUGAGUCUCGGCUGAGCCAGGGUCUGGAUGACGGGCUAGCGAGAUGAGUCUCACAUCGCCUGAUACUUAUGAGCCUGACGAGGACGUCAGGGCUUAAAGGAGGGGAGAUUGUGAGACCCCAGAUAGUUCUCUAUAUGAGAUAUUAUAGGACUAAACUCUUAAUCCGGCUUAAGUAUUUUGGAUAGUGGCUAGACCCAAGAGGUUAAGAGAGUUAAGCGUGCUAGGACGGGAGUAGUCCUAGGAUGGGUGACCCCUGGGAAGUCGGGGCGUCACAGAUGGUAUCAGAGCCAAUUACCAGCUGGAAGUGUGAGAUGAGUCUCGGCUGAGCCAGGGUCUGGAUGACGGGCUAGCGAGAUGAGUCUCACAUCGCCUGAUACUUAUGAGCCUGACGAGGACGUCAGGGCUUAAAGGAAGUGUGAGAUGAGUCUCGGCUGAGCCAGGGUCUGGAUGACGGGCUAGCGAGAUGAGUCUCACAUCGCCUGAUACUUAUGAGCCUGACGAGGACGUCAGGGCUUAAAGGAGGGGAGAUUGUGAGACCCCAGAUAGUUCUCUAUAUGAGAUAUUAUAGGGCUAAACUCUUAAUCCGGCUUAAGCAUUUUGGGUAGUGGCUAGAUCCAAGAGGUUAAGAGAGUUAAGCGUGCUAGGACGGGAGUAGUCCUAGGAUGAGUGACCUCUGGGAAGUCGGGGCGUCACAGUUAUAUGAAUAGUAUUGUUCAUCUCAAGAU
This 919-nucleotide long non-coding RNA is filed under the name Ananas comosus (pineapple). RNAcentral describes it as "long non-coding RNA (ACOM_LNC021348)". The record is from RNAcentral. Lineage: Eukaryota; Viridiplantae; Streptophyta; Magnoliopsida; Poales; Bromeliaceae.